UUUAAAGCAGUUUUACUCUCAUUUAUUUAGUCCUCACCAUACAGACAGCUGACAGUGAGGAAUUCACACUGAUGUGGGAGGUGUCACUGAGGAGAUGAAAUUUGAGUUGCUCCUUAAAGAAUGAGUAAGAUUUGCUAGGUGAAGAUUGGUGAAAUGGCUUUGCAGACAGAAUAGCGACAGCGAAACAACAGGCGAAGUGUGAGAUGUGUCAUGGGAACACUAGUUACUCAGAUGUGUGAGUAUGUGUGUGUGUGGGUAGGUUUGUGUCAUGGGGUCCAUAUGAGGGGGUGUGGAAGGAGCUAAGUCAGUGCAAACUUUUAGCUCUGCAAGUUACAAAAUGUAAGAGGCUAAAAAAUGACUUGAAAUCUGAAAAUCGCAAUUCCUAAAGUAAAGGUAGAUCGUUUCUGUCAUUUAAAAUGUGUGGCAGGAAGAAAAGCAGCAUUUAUUGAGCUCCUGCUAUAUGACUUUAUAUCUAUUGUUGCAUUUAACCCUUAGAUCAGCUCUUUAAGAGGCUGAUUACUCUCAAUUUACAUGUGAGGAAAUGCAAGCUACAGAAAUUACCCUAGAAAGAUGAAGCCCAGCAGCAGGAUUCAAUCCAGGUUCAUCCAACUCCCCAGAUGGUAUUCUUUCCAUCACACCAUGCGGUCUCUCUGAAAUACCUAAGUGAUUCUCCUAUUACAACAAACAGUGGGACACCUCCCCACACAGACCGCUCUCACCACCACCACCAAAUAGCUCAGCAUAUUUGGAGAUAAAAACAAAGGAAGAGAAAUGAAAUACGCAUGUGAAAACUUUAUAGAUUAUUCUGCCCUAUUCGGCAGCCAUUAUGGGAUUGUUACUUGAUAUGAAUGUAGAGAUUUGCUACUUUGAAAGCCUUAAAGUUUCGCUAUUGUGGCCCACAGCUCUCUGGAUAUGGCAGUAUUUCUUGAACUAGCAAAAAAAGCUUAUUUUCUUCAGUAUGUGAAUCCACAUAAAGGUAUUUAUCCUAAACAGCUACUUCCUCCUUUACCAUGGACUGAUUUGGGAUUCAGCUUUGUUGCGAUGCCACAGGUGUUUUAGAUUUUGAUGGCCGCUUCCAAGUGUGGGUCUGAUGAGCUCUCCGCAUGCGCUGCCUGCCUGGGUGAGCGCUGGCCAGGCUGAGUAGGCUCAUUCAUCCAGGAGAUGGCCCUGCAGCUGAAAAGAGGAAGGUGUUAGAAGAGGUCAUCGAGAGGACGUGAGUGCUGGUUGACUCGAGAACUGGACCAGGGCAUUUGGAGGCUCUUCACCUUCUCCCCUGUCCUUGGAAUGUAUGUUCUGUCCACGGUUCCUACAGUAGGAGCUAUUUUCAAGGACACAGCCUUGAGAGAGCAGUGUGUUGUUGAGACCAUCUUGAUUGAAAAUGUGACCAAAACCGGUUAAGGCCUCUGUAUAAAAUUGUAAGAUUUGGCAGGAUUGUGGGAGCUGCCUAAUUGGAAAUCUGUAAGAAGGGUCAACAGGCUGGAAAUUCAGCUAAGAGUUGAUGGUGUGGUAUUGAUCUGAAAUCUGCAGGGCAGGCCAUCAGAAAUUGUGACAAGUUAUGCAUUUCAAAUAUCUGUGAUAAGACUGAGGAUUGACUCCACUUAAUUUGGAUCCUGAGUGUUACAAGAGGUGGACAGUAGCGACGCUUUGAGUUGACACUCAUCUCCCUGGCACUAACUCUACUUAGACACAUGGAUGGCUUCUUACUGAAAAUGUCUGUCAGCUCUUUGCCUGAGUAAUUCCGCUGGCUGUAAGAAAGUGCUUGACUUGUGUGUGGAACAGACUGAAAAUGAUUGAAAGUUAACAUCCCAGGAGCGGUCUUCAACCAGUUAUGGAUGGGCGUUGGCAGAGAAACUCCAUAGUUUCUUCACCCCUCAGGUAGGACAACUCCGAGAAGUGUUCCACGUAGUCUCCCAGUGGACCCUAAAAGAGGGAGCCCCAAUUCCUCACACUCGUAAACGGUUUAUUAAUGUAGACUAUGUUGGCUUUGUUCCCUUCCCUGUCUUACUUCCUCACUCCCUAUCCCUGCUUCUUGGAAUCAUUUCCCUAGUAAAUUAAUUUCAUGCAAAUUUUUGUCUCAAGGAAUACAACCUAAGACAAGUGGUAAAACAGGUCAGAGUUCUGACCUUCUACCACUUAUAGUCUAGUAGAGGAGAAGGGCAUGAAUCAAAUAAUUUCGUAGUAAUUGUAAAUUUGCAAUGUGACACUACUGAAAAGAAGACACAUUGAGGCAAUCUGAUUGUGUGUGUGUGUAUUGGGGUUAGGAAACAUUUUUCCCAAGGAAGGGAUGUUUGAGCUGAAAAGUGAAAAAUGAAAAGAGGUGGAGAUAGAGUUCUGUAUGAAAGAAUAACAUAUGCAAAGGGCCUGUGGCAGGAAGAGCAUGGUAUGUAGAGAGACUAAAGAAAGGCAGUGUGGCUGAAGCAGAGGAUGAUGGGGAGCUCAGUGGAAAAUGAGACCAGGAAGGUAGGUAGAAGCCAGAUGGUGUAGGGCUUUCUAGUGUCUUAUUUAUGUGAAGAGCUAUGAGGAGCCAUUGGGAGGGUAUAAUCAGUGGGAUCAUAUCAUCAGAUUUACAUUUCACAAAGAUCAUUUUGUCUGAUGUAUACAAAAGACAUAGGGAGUCAGUGGAAGGAUAUUUGGGUUUAGUCGAUACAGGAAUCUAGGUGAAAGGCUUUUUCUACUAUCAUUACGAGGAAUUGAUUGGAUCCCAGGGUUCAAACCAUGGCUCUGUAAUUUACUCAGUGAAUGAUCUUGGGCCAGCUACUUAACCUUCCAUGCUGAAAUUUCCUCAUACGUAAAAUAACUGUAACUAGAUGUUAUAAUCAUGAUUAGGAUACUGCCUGACACGUCGUAAACACAAUCCAAGUGUUGGGUACAAUUAACAUCAUUAUUAUUAUCUUCCAACAUGUAAUAGGUAACUGGUGAAUUUUUAAGCUGGGUUACUCUCCAGGGGCUUUCGUCUUGUUUGGUAUAUACAGUUGCUGCUUUAACAGCUAGUAUAGAGGAGGGCAGGGUGGCAGCAGGUCUGCCAUGAAAUGCAUGCCUUAGUGCUUAGCAGCUGAAUAACCUGGAGCCAGUCGCUUCCCUCCUGUUUCCUCCUCUCUGUUACGGGGAGGGGUCUAGGAUUAGUACCUAACUUCACUGCUUCACUGGGUUAUUGUAGGAAGAAACGGACUGCUCUCCAUCAAACGCAGGUCGAUCCAUGGCACAGUAUGCUUGCUAUCACUUGUAACUAUUCUGAUAAGCACUGAUAAUUGUCUCUUCCAGUCAUCAUUCUCAUCAGUUUAUUCCUCCUCCAUCGUGAUCUUGUUAUAACAAUUAAAUAAGGAGCUAAGAUAACACUGUUUUACCUUUGGAAAAGUCCUUAGAGUAGAAAACCCUGCAAAAGUGUAGCUAUUUUUACUACUUUGCUGCAAAUUUUACAUUUUAUACUCCUUUAAUGUCUUUAGAUUGUGAGCAUCACAUUGCCACUGCUAUAUUAUUAUUGCAGUAAAGUCCUCAUGAAAAUGACUCUUCCUCUGUAUUUCCGUGAGUAAAAUCAUCACUCUGAAGUGAAUGGUGUUGUCAAUUCCUAAGAACCUCCCAGAUAUUCUAUGCUUUUCUCUUUGGCUUCAGUGAUUUCAUUGUAAUUGUUAGCAAAAUACCACAUAUUUUGCUCGUAAGCAUGAAAACUUGAGUUCUUAUACAAUUAUCUUUCAAGGCCAGAUCCUAAUGUUUCAUGAGGUAGAAGAGAAACAUAUUUUUACUUGCAGCCUGUGUAUAAAAAAAAGAAUUAUGAGUACUCCUAUAAAAUUUUUAUUGAAGCCCAUUAAAUUUUUUGCAAGCAUUGUCUAUUUAUUGAGAGUGGCCUUUUUUUCUUUAAACUCUGGCAUGAUAUUGAGAUAUUGAGAAACAAUCUCCUCUCUUGGAGAGAAUUAGGUCAGCUCUUACUGUUUUAUGCUUUUAGUGCAUUUCUCUGUGUAUGUGCUUAUACUUUCUACAUAGGCUUUUUAAGUUUCUUUGACUAAUGACUGAAUUAAAAUUUCUCACAUUUAGAUAUGUGAAAUAUGAAAUUGAAGAUUGCUUCCUGUUUGUCUUUGCUUUACUAAACCACUGGGCAUAAUAUACAGUAGUUAUAAGAUUAUAAAAUUUAAUCUGACUAAUAAUAUGCAUUAUUAAUAUAUUUUAACAUAUUUUUAUGUUACAAAAAUAUUCCUGAAGUAUUUUGAUUAAGAAAUUUUCUUAUUAUUUUUAACUUAACUUUCCAGCUUCAAAAGGAGAUUUCUAAAAUCAGUUGAUUCUGCUUUUGAUGUUUUGAUAGUUUCUGCAGUCUCUUUUGGUCGUAUUAUCUAUCUAUGACACUUUAAUGAAAAUACUUUGAAAAUAGCAGAGUUGAUUUCUUUUAUAGUAACAGAUGUGCAUAAUGCUUACUUUAAUGUUCUUGCCUCGUAUCUGACAUGUUGCUCCAAAUCUUCAAUGGCUUGAUUAUUGUAAAACAUAUAGUAACAACUCUUGGAAACACCUAAAAACUUCUUGGGCAUUACAUUUUAUCUUGAGGGGGCAGGGGCCAUGGCCAUCAGUCUUGCUGUGGGUCCUGUCACAGAUUCUACCCUGAGGCACUGACAAGAGCUGAAACAGUCCUUUCUACUGUGAAGUUUCUUUGGUCUGUCCAUUCAACAGACAUGGCUGAAUAUUAAAAGAAAAAUCUAUGGGACCUUUAAAUAACCUUUAAGCUUCAAUAUGUGUAAUUCAUUGGGUGUUCAUUUCAGUAUCAAUUUCUGUGAAAAGACAUUUCAAAGAUGAAACAUGUAAAAUUCCGUUUCAGCUCAACUUUAACAAAUGAACAUUUGCAUUCAGUUUUGAUGAUAGAGAACACUAACUUGAAUCCCAGUCAAGAAAAUAUUAUCCCUUCCCAAAUAAUUACUUUAUUUUCAUUAGUAUACCUGUAUUAUAAGAAAAUUAUGUUCAAUUAUUAUGUUUUGAAUUCCGUAAGUAAAAAUUUUGGGAAAAUUUGUCUUCUCUCUUGCUAUAAAAGUGCCUACAUAAUGUCCUUGAUUUCGC
This 5034-nucleotide long non-coding RNA is filed under the name Equus caballus (horse). RNAcentral's name for it is "lncRNA (ENSECAG00000054253.1)". Lineage: Eukaryota; Metazoa; Chordata; Mammalia; Perissodactyla; Equidae. The record is from RNAcentral.